Molecule: non-coding RNA, 1271 nt
Organism: Microcebus murinus (gray mouse lemur)
Lineage: Eukaryota; Metazoa; Chordata; Mammalia; Primates; Cheirogaleidae
Source: RefSeq, a predicted model, not a curated record
UCCACCACUCAGCUAAUCUGUUUGUUGUACACAUAUAACUUGGUCUACUUAUGCAUAUGGUCGCGGUUCAGCCGUCUUGGUGUCUUCUAAGACUGCAAACCCCUGAAGGGUGGAAAUCAGACAUUGAAUACAUUGGUUCCCGAGCUUAGCACAGCAAGGCACUAUCAAGAAAACACAGAGACUACCUCCUCGAGCCCACCUCUGCCAGGACUUGCUGUGCGCCCCUGGGCAAGUCACUCCCCUCUCUGAGUCUCAGCUUCCCCACCUAUGAUGAGAUGUAGUUAAACCGGAAUGUCUCUGGGGUUCCAUUUGUCUCCAAGACACUGCAAGAACACAGGCAGAAAAGCACUGGAUUCAUGUCUUUUCAUGGCUAUGUGGCAUUGUAAUAAUCACUCAGGGUUAGGCUCAGCAAGACAGCACAAUACCGCUCCUUUGUGUGGCUCAGACACGCCACUGCAAUGAGUGAAAACCCUAAAGUGGAUAUUUAGUGCUAUGGGAUGUAUGUUUGUGUCGCUAAGUAUAAUGGACAAUGAAGAAUGAUUUUAUCUCCCUUUGAGAACAUAAGUACACUAUUCUAUAUUUAUACCUCCCAUCUCCUAAUUUAGACAGGAGAGAACUUUUUCUGAUCAGCACUCACUUGCCAAUAAUUUCGUUCUACAUCUAAAUGAGGAACAGGAGUCAUAUAAGUUCACAGAUUGAAUGGAUGGUUGAUUUACAAAGCCCUUAAAAUGUGGCUGCAGGCCGAUGCUGGCAGCCCCAUAAUUAGAUAUGGCAUGCUCUGCAAUGAUGUAUUUUUUUACUGUUUUUUAAUAACUCAGUUCUCCUUCUGGGAUGAGGAGAAAAAUGGAAUUUGUUAAAAAUAAGUUGAGAUUUAGUGGCUUUUCAGCCUUCUGCUGCUUGUUGCUCAAAAUAUUCUAUAAAUAAGAGAAGCCCUGCCCUAUAGUGCACCGUAAACACCCACAGACACUCAGAGCCAAAUUCUUCCAAUUAUGACCCUGUGCCUGUUGCCAAGCUACUGCAAGGACCUACUUGAAAGGCGGCCAUCUAGGCCAUUUCCUGAUUAAGCUGCCCGGUAGCAAGGAAAUCAAGGCCCGCUGCUUUGGCAUUGUAGCUAGUCUCAAAUAAUUGCUCCAUGUUCUUGAAAUUAAGCCCUUUCCUUGUGAUAGAAUUACAAUUCAGAGAAACAUGGGAAGAGUCAGGGAAAUGCUACGAAAUGGAGAUAAGAAGCAAAAGAGUCAAGCAGUUGUUAUUAAUAAAACAUUUCUAACAUA